Molecule: ribosomal RNA, 425 nt
Filed under: uncultured bacterium
Lineage: Bacteria
Description: partial 16S ribosomal RNA
Rfam family: Bacterial small subunit ribosomal RNA
Source: RNAcentral
GUGGGGAAUCUUAGACAAUGGGGGCAACCCUGAUCUAGCCAUGCCGCGUGAGUGAUGAAGGCCUUAGGGUCGUAAAGCUCUUUCGCUGGGGAAGAUAAUGACGGUACCCAGUAAAGAAACCCCGGCUAACUCCGUGCCAGCAGCCGCGGUAAUACGGAGGGGGUUAGCGUUGUUCGGAAUUACUGGGCGUAAAGCGCGCGUAGGCGGAUUGGAAAGUUGAGGGUGAAAUCCCGGUGCUCAACCCUUGAAUGGCCUUCAAAACUCCCAGUCUUGAGGUCGAGAGAGGUGAGUGGAAUUCCGAGUGUAUAGGUGAAAUUCGUAGAUAUUCGGAGGAACACCAGUGGCGAAGGCGGCUCACUGGCUCGAUACUGACGCUGAGGUGCGAAAGCGUGGGGAGCAAACAGGAUUAGAAACCCUGGUAGUCC